GGUAAGGGUGAGAAAGAGACCUAGAAAGAAACAAGAUGACCAGGUUCAUAUGAACAGCAGAGAGGUUAUGACAUCUGAAAAUGUCAUUCAGAAGUAAAGGUUCUGGGUCGGCCAGGUGGUGCGGUGGUUAAGGCACCUGGAUCCCACAUGGCUGACGGCACAGUUCGAGUCCACCUCAGAAAACACUCCGGCUGCUUUACCGACUCAUCUCACAAAGGUCAAAAAGAAGCAAAAUGCACUCAACAGAUUUGCCCUGAGAGCGUAUACAACUUGUUAUAAAAGUGCUACAGAAAACAGGCUGAGGAUGACCCAGGGCGCAGAAGCCUGCCAUCUCUACACUGGUUCAGAGUUUCUAGACAUGAGGCCCUUGGAUCAAAAGCACCAUCUGGGAACUUACCAGACAUGCAGAUUCCUGGGUCCUGCCCUAGAAUCUGAGACUCUGCAGGAGGCCAGACUCUCUCUGCAGCCUUUGUGGACAAACGCACUGCAAUCUGAAAAGAAAGCAAAACCAAAGGUCACAUGGACGAAGCGAGCCGAUCUCAGACUCCAACUUCCCAGCACUACACGCAGCCUAUGGAUCCCCAAGCACAGCUGCUCCCAUGUAAGGGUGUGACUCCAACUGCAGUGACAGAACGCAGCCCUCUUCCAGGAAGCAGCGCUGUGACGCUAUUUGGAGGAGUGAGUGCUCCCUUCGGGCAGGGACCACGCAUCCAUUGCUGAGUUUUCAAUCCAGUCUCUACUACACUAUGUGAUUCAUGGCACCUAUCGGAAUGUCUAUCUGCAGACUCUCUACAAGCCAAGUCCCCGAUACAACCCUGAGCGCAGUAUGAGAAACAGAAACUUAACAGUAAAAGGAAAACAGGAGAAACAACUGACUUAGGUCCUGGCCCCUCUGAUUGAUCAGUGUCAUCCCAGUGCAAGUUCCUUCUGCAGAGGCCUAAAUUUCCUCAUCUGUAAAGUGGAAGAGGGGCCACGUUCCCCCCCCAAGUUCCUUCUGCAUGUUCUUCCGUGAGGUAGAACUGAAAUAACUUGUGAUGCAGGAUUAGAUCAAGUUGUGACCAUAAAUCCACAAACCACCAGCAAAAGACAGUAUGACAUCCUCCCCCUAGACUGACCUCCCAAAUCGAGGAGACUAGGGUGAUGACAUACGGACUUCAUGAAGAAAUCCGCUGCUGCUUCCACAAGAAAUAAAUGGCUGACACAAGAUUCCUUGGGUGGCUGACCAUUAAAUUUUACAGGCUGGACCAAGACAGUCUUGUCUCGUGUAUUAUAAAUACUGUUGGCAUAAAACCAGUACCUGACUCACUAUUUUACUGGUUUUUCCACUUUUAAAAAGUCCUCCAUUAUAUAAAAUACUGUUAUGCUGUAUGCUUUCAAAUAUACAAAAUAUUUCAUACUGUUUUAUUUCUUCAUUUACAAUUGUAAUAUCUAUUUUUUAAGUCAAUCAAUGAGAAUAACGAUGCCAUUCUGAUGGAUCUGAAAACACAACCAGAGGUCUAUGUGAUGCUUGCGGUUUUUCACACAUCCACCUCAACACC
Tupaia belangeri chinensis (Chinese tree shrew) is the source of this 1538-nucleotide long non-coding RNA. RefSeq lists it as uncharacterized. The record is from RefSeq and is a predicted model, not a curated record. The transcript is spliced from 7 exons. NCBI's taxonomy places the organism in Eukaryota, Metazoa, Chordata, Mammalia, Scandentia, Tupaiidae.